RNAcentral lists this ribosomal RNA (770 nucleotides) under Erysiphe ornata. RNAcentral's name for it is "partial 28S ribosomal RNA". It matches the Rfam family "Eukaryotic large subunit ribosomal RNA", at positions 1 to 784 of the family's 3401-position model. Lineage: Eukaryota; Fungi; Ascomycota; Leotiomycetes; Helotiales; Erysiphaceae. The record is from RNAcentral.
UUGACCUCGAAUCAGGUAGGAAUACCCGCUGAACUUAAGCAUAUCAAUAAGCGGAGGAAAAGAAACCAACCGGGAUUACCUCAGUAACGGCGAGUGAAGCGGUAACAGCUCAAAUUUGAAAUCUGGCUCCUUCGGAGUCCGAGUUGUAAUUUGUAGAAGAUGCUUUGGGUCGUGGGUUCGGCCUAAGUUCCUUGGAACAGGACGUCACAGAGGGUGAGAAUCCCGUAUGUGGCCGAGGCCUGCGCCUAUGUAAAGCUCUUUCGACGAGUCGAGUUGUUUGGGAAUGCAGCUCAAAAUGGGUGGUAAAUUUCAUCUAAAGCUAAAUAUGGGCCAGAGACCGAUAGCGCACAAGUAGAGUGAUCGAAAGAUGAAAAGCACUUUGGAAAGAGAGUUAAACAGUACGUGAAAUUGUUGAAAGGGAAGCGCUUGCAACCAGACUUGGGCGCUGCCGAUCACCCCGAGUUCUCUCAGGUGCACUCGACAGCGCACAGGCCAGCAUCGGUUCGGGUGGCUGGAUAAAGGCCGUAGGAACGUAGCUCCCCUCGGGGAGUGUUAUAGUCUACGGUGCCAUGCAGCCCAGCCGGACCGAGGACCGCGCCUUCGGGCUAGGAUGCUGGCGUAAUGGUUGUAAGCGACCCGUCUUGAAACACGGACCAAGGAGUCUAACAUCUAUGCGAGUGUUUGGGCGUUAAACCCAUACGCGGAAUGAAAGUGAACGUAGGUGAGAACCCCUUUGGGGCGCAUCAUCGACCGAUCCUGAUGUCUUCGGA